AUGUUCGGGGUCUCGACGAGGAACUCGGCGUUUCGGUGCGAUGUAGGGGUACAAGUCAAAGGUUGUCGUGGUACUUGGUGUAACAUAGGUCUCCGGGGUCGUCGGGUACACGUUCACAUUGUAGCCGUACACGUCGAGGGUCUUAUCGGAACCUCGUCAAUAUUCGAGAUCCACCUUGACGAUCCGAAGAGGUACUUGGCAUCAUGGUACUUGGGUCUUGGCGGUUCGUCGUGUAGUCGUACAUGUAUCAUAGAGGAACUUGGUCUUGCGAAGAGGUACUUGACGGUAGUGGUACUUGACGCGUUUGAGGGUCGUUCAUGUCAUGGUACUUGGCAAAAUCCUCGGAGAAGGUGCUUGACGGUCCGGGUACGGUUCUUGGUGUCUCAUCCUUGA
RNAcentral lists this ribosomal RNA (393 nucleotides) under Triticum aestivum (bread wheat). RNAcentral describes it as "partial small subunit ribosomal RNA". The record is from RNAcentral. Lineage: Eukaryota; Viridiplantae; Streptophyta; Magnoliopsida; Poales; Poaceae.